RNAcentral lists this ribosomal RNA (289 nucleotides) under uncultured Dialister sp. Its description in RNAcentral is "partial 16S ribosomal RNA". It matches the Rfam family "Bacterial small subunit ribosomal RNA", at positions 70 to 339 of the family's 1533-position model. Lineage: Bacteria; Bacillati; Bacillota; Negativicutes; Veillonellales; Veillonellaceae. The record is from RNAcentral.
AGAAGGAAGCUUGCUUCUUUCAAAUCUAGUGGCAAACGGGUGAGUAACACGUAAACAACCUGCCUUCAGGAUGGGGACAACAGACGGAAACGACUGCUAAUACCGAAUACGUUCCUUAGGUCGCAUGACCCAAGGAAGAAAGGGUGGCCUCUACUUGUAAGCUAUCGCCUGAAGAGGGGUUUGCGUCUGAUUAGGUAGUUGGUGAGGUAAUGGCCCACCAAGGCGACGAUCGGUAGCCGGACUGAGAGGUUGAACGGCCACAUUGGGACUGAGACACGGCCCAGACUCC